UGGGAAGAUCUAUGGACAUUUCCAUGAAAGAAGAGAACCAAUGGUGUGCAGUCCAGAAUGGGGCUAUGAGAACCAAAGAUAUCUGUGAACGGCUGAGGUGUACCAAUGUCUGAGCCAGAAUUCCGUGGCUAGGUCCGUCAGUAUCUUGGAUCUCGUGCCGCCCAGAUGGUUGAUGUAGCCGAAUGCAGAUAUAUUGUCCAUUCGCAGAAUAAUGGAGUAUUUGGUCGUGAGACCGUUGAGGCUUUUUAGGGCGAACGAUCCCGCCAUGAGUUCCAGGUUGUUGAUGUGAAGCUCUUUUUCUGAUAGGACCACAACGCACUCCCCAACUGUGCGU
This is a non-coding RNA of Pelobates cultripes (western spadefoot toad), 334 nucleotides long. The record is from the annotation of a GenBank genome assembly. NCBI's taxonomy places the organism in Eukaryota, Metazoa, Chordata, Amphibia, Anura, Pelobatidae.